Molecule: long non-coding RNA, 282 nt
Organism: Ficedula albicollis (Collared flycatcher)
Lineage: Eukaryota; Metazoa; Chordata; Aves; Passeriformes; Muscicapidae
Exons: 3
Source: RefSeq, a predicted model, not a curated record
GAACAUCUAUUUAAAACCCUUCAGACUGAUUGGCCUGGAUACAGUGAAACUGAUAGAGAGAAUUUGAAGUUAAUACUUUCUAGAAAAUCAGCUCCAUCUCAGACCCCCACCAUCACCAGCCAGGUGACAUCUCCAGGGCCUUCUGGGAGAGAUGUUCCAGCAAGAUCUGCUCAGAAACGGCCUCUGGCUUCUGACUUUACCAGUGCUGUGAUGAGCAAGAAGAAUCGAAUUGGUCACCAGCAAUUCUCCAGUCACACCCAGCCAGCAGCUGGAGGCCUCUCU